AAGUCCGUGCCUCAGGUCUGCACGAUCCGCCACAUUGCGGCCAGGCGCAUGUCACCAUCUGCCAUGUUUCCCCACACUCCUGCCGCGGCACACGAUGCUCGAAGAAGCGCGUAUUUUAGCAGGAAUUACCCCUUCUCCACCGAGGCCCGCGGCUCCGCCGGUCGUCGCCGGUGGUUUCGGUGUGCGGAGCCCCCGACUGGAGGCUGAAGCCGCCCGGAGAUGCUGCACCAUUCCUCGUUAGCUGAGUCACGGCUAAGAAGAGGCAGGCUUCCUGUGUAAAAUGCUUCAGUGGCUCCAGGCAUCUGAUCGCCAGGUGCAGGCCCAGUUUGCCGUUCUUGCUCUGCUAUGACUAACGUAAUUGCACACGCUGUAGGAUCAACACAAGGAGCCAGAGUCCAUGUGCAGUCUGCAGGCCUUCUACUCCUGAUGCCAUACUUCAAAGAGCCCAAAACCUCCAUCAUGCCUGAGUAAGUAACGUAACGUAAGUUGUUAAAAAGAUAAAUAAGCGUGUAGAGAAGGGCUCUCGAGAA
Salarias fasciatus (jewelled blenny) is the source of this 530-nucleotide long non-coding RNA. RefSeq lists it as uncharacterized. The transcript has 3 exons. The record is from RefSeq and is a predicted model, not a curated record. NCBI's taxonomy places the organism in Eukaryota, Metazoa, Chordata, Actinopteri, Blenniiformes, Blenniidae.